Molecule: ribosomal RNA, 460 nt
Filed under: uncultured bacterium
Lineage: Bacteria
Description: partial 16S ribosomal RNA
Rfam family: Bacterial small subunit ribosomal RNA
Source: RNAcentral
CCUACGGGGGACAGCAGUGAGGAAUAUUGGUCAAUGGGCGGGAGCCUGAACCAGCCAAGUCGCGUGAGGGAAGACGGUCCUAUGGAUUGUAAACCUCUUUAGGCGGGGAGCAAUGCCGGGCACGCGUGCCCGGAGGGAGAGUACCCGCAGUAUACGCAUCGGCUAACUCGGUGCCAGCAGCCGCGGUAAUACGGAGGAUGCGAGCGUUAUCCGGAUUUAUGGGGUUUAAAGGGUGCGUAGGCGGAUUUUUAAGUCAGCGGUAAAAUGUCCGGGCACCAGCCGGGCCGGCCGUUGAAACUGGGGAUCUUGAGUGGGCGAGAAGUAUGCGGAAUGCGUGGUGUAGCGGUGAAAUGCAUAGAUAUCACGCAGAACUCCGAUUGCGAAGGCAGCAUACCGGCGCCCGACUGACGCUGAGGCACGAAAGCGUGGGGAUCGAACAGGAUUAGAUACCCGUGUAGUC